This 510-nucleotide ribosomal RNA is filed under the name uncultured bacterium. RNAcentral describes it as "partial 16S ribosomal RNA". It matches the Rfam family "Bacterial small subunit ribosomal RNA", at positions 28 to 507 of the family's 1533-position model. The record is from RNAcentral.
GACGAACGCUGGCGGCGUGCUUAACACAUGCAAGUCGAACGAAGAGCGAUGGAAGCUUGCUUCUAUCAAUCUUAGUGGCGAACGGGUGAGUAACGCGUAAUCAACCUGCCCUUCAGAGGGGGACAACAGUUGGAAACGACUGCUAAUACCGCAUACGAUCUAACCUCGGCAUCGAGGAUAGAUGAAAGGUGGCCUCUACAUGUAAGCUAUCACUGAAGGAGGGGAUUGCGUCUGAUUAGCUAGUUGGAGGGGUAACGGCCCACCAAGGCGAUGAUCAGUAGCCGGUCUGAGAGGAUGAACGGCCACAUUGGGACUGAGACACGGCCCAAACUCCUACGGGAGGCAGCAGUGGGGAAUCUUCCGCAAUGGACGAAAGUCUGACGGAGCAACGCCGCGUGAGUGAUGACGGCCUUCGGGUUGUAAAGCUCUGUUAAUCGGGACGAAAGGCCUUCUUGCGAAUAGUUAGAAGGAUUGACGGUACCGGAAUAGAAAGCCACGGCUAACUACGUG